CCCGCAACGAGCGCAACCCUUAUCCUUUGUUGCCAGCGGUUCGGCCGGGAACUCAAAGGAGACUGCCAGUGAUAAACUGGAGGAAGGUGGGGAUGACGUCAAGUCAUCAUGGCCCUUACGAGUAGGGCUACACACGUGCUACAAUGGCGUAUACAAAGAGAAGCGACCUCGCGAGAGCAAGCGGACCUCAUAAAGUACGUCGUAGUCCGGAUUGGAGUCUGCAACUCGACUCCAUGAAGUCGGAAUCGCUAGUAAUCGUAGAUCAGAAUGCUACGGUGAAUACGUUCCCGGGCCUUGUACACACCGCCCGUCACACCAUGGGAGUGGGUUGCAAAAGAAGUAGGUAGCUUAACCUUCGGGAGGGCGCUUACCACUUUGUGAUUCAUGACUGGGGUGAAGUCGUAACAAGGUAACCGUA
This 418-nucleotide ribosomal RNA is filed under the name uncultured bacterium. RNAcentral describes it as "bacterial SSU rRNA". It matches the Rfam family "Bacterial small subunit ribosomal RNA", at positions 1086 to 1504 of the family's 1533-position model. The record is from RNAcentral.